Molecule: ribosomal RNA, 456 nt
Filed under: uncultured organism
Description: partial 16S ribosomal RNA
Rfam family: Bacterial small subunit ribosomal RNA
Source: RNAcentral
ACGUACACUCCUGCGGGAGGCAGCAGUGGGGAAUAUUGGACAAUGGGCGCAAGCCUGAUCCAGCCAUGCCGCGUGAGUGAUGAAGGCCCUAGGGUUGUAAAGCUCUUUCACCGGAGAAGAUAAUGACGGUAUCCGGAGAAGAAGCCCCGGCUAACUUCGUGCCAGCAGCCGCGGUAAUACGAAGGGGGCUAGCGUUGUUCGGAAUUACUGGGCGUAAAGCGCACGUAGGCGGAUCGAUCAGUCAGGGGUGAAAUCCCAGGGCUCAACCCUGGAACUGCCUUUGAUACUGUCGAUCUGGAGUAUGGAAGAGGUGAGUGGAAUUCCGAGUGUAGAGGUGAAAUUCGUAGUUAUUCGGAGGAACACCAGUGGCGAAGGCGGCUCACUGGUCCAUUACUGACGCUGAGGUGCGAAAGCGUGGGGAGCAAACAGGAUUAGAUACCCGGGUAGUCCCAUGAU